Molecule: small RNA, 125 nt
Filed under: Marmota monax (woodchuck)
Lineage: Eukaryota; Metazoa; Chordata; Mammalia; Rodentia; Sciuridae
Source: RNAcentral
GCCAAGUGCAUUGGCAUGCACCUGUAAUCCCAGCGGCUCAGGAGGCUGAGGCAGGAGGAUGACAAGUUCAAAGCCAGCCUCAGCAAUGGCAAAGUGCUAAGCAACUCAGUGAGACCCUGUCUCUA